GCAUUUUUUUUUUCCCCUCACAGUUUUACUUCAGUAGUUUACUGUAGGACAAUCUGGCAAACGUUAUAGAAGAGGCAACUGCUUAAAGACAUUUUAGUAUUAGACCUUUACUUGGCACUGGUCUAUCCAAUGUAUAUAUGGUGGUUAUUAGCAAAGUACACAAAACUGUGGAAAUGGCAAAAGACAUUUUCAAAAGUCAGU
Molecule: non-coding RNA, 201 nt
Organism: Tinamus guttatus (white-throated tinamou)
Lineage: Eukaryota; Metazoa; Chordata; Aves; Tinamiformes; Tinamidae
Source: RefSeq, a predicted model, not a curated record